CAGUGAUAAUGUUCUCAACUGCGAGAUAGUGUUACCCAAGUUCAAAGACUAUAAUUCAUCUAUCUAGGUACAGGAUUCGGGAAUUCAUCAUAGGUUUAGCAAUAAUCUCCGCUGUUAUAUUUUGAGCAAAUUUAUUCAUAUAUUUUAGGUUUAGGUUUACAAUUUUACUUCAUUUCUUAUGGGACAUUUUCUUUCAGGCUUUCAAUCAGUCACCACGGCGGCUAAUUCGUCGCAGUACUCAUUCAACUUCCAACCACGAAGGGCAGGGGUUAUACAUGGCAUCGCACAAUUCGUUCACAGGUAUCCAAAGAUGCUGCCGCCGUAGCUGCUGUUUGACCGGACUCCCCCUGUUCAUCAGGGGGAGUCCACCCGUCCC
RNAcentral lists this unclassified non-coding RNA (376 nucleotides) under Athalia rosae (coleseed sawfly). Its description in RNAcentral is "misc RNA ENSAEAG00005007413.1". The record is from RNAcentral. Lineage: Eukaryota; Metazoa; Arthropoda; Insecta; Hymenoptera; Athaliidae.